CCCGCACAAGCGGUGGAGUAUGUGGUUUAAUUCGAUGCAACGCGAAGAACCUUACCUGGUCUUGACAUCCCGGAGACCCUUAGGAAACUAGGGGUGCUUCCCUCUGGAAGAAUCUGGAGACAGGUGCUGCAUGGCUGUCGUCAGCUCGUGUCGUGAGAUGUUGGGUUAAGUCCCGCAACGAGCGCAACCCUUGCCUUUAGUUGCCAGCAGUUCGGCUGGGCACUCUAAAGGGACUGCCGGUGUUAAACCGGAGGAAGGUGGGGAUGACGUCAAGUCCUCAUGGCCUUUAUGACCAGGGCUACACACGUACUACAAUGGCCGAUACAAAGGGCAGCGACACUGCGAGGUGAAGCCAAUCCCGUAAAAUCGGUCUCAGUCCGGAUUGGAGUCUGCAACUCGACUCCAUGAGGUUGGAAUCGCUAGUAAUCGUGGAUCAGCAUGCCACGGUGAAUACGUUCCCGGGCCUU
RNAcentral lists this ribosomal RNA (467 nucleotides) under uncultured Desulfobulbus sp. RNAcentral's name for it is "bacterial SSU rRNA". It matches the Rfam family "Bacterial small subunit ribosomal RNA", at positions 920 to 1382 of the family's 1533-position model. The record is from RNAcentral. Lineage: Bacteria; Pseudomonadati; Thermodesulfobacteriota; Desulfobulbia; Desulfobulbales; Desulfobulbaceae.